Coregonus clupeaformis (lake whitefish) is the source of this 1726-nucleotide long non-coding RNA. RefSeq lists it as uncharacterized. The transcript has 2 exons. Lineage: Eukaryota; Metazoa; Chordata; Actinopteri; Salmoniformes; Salmonidae. The record is from RefSeq and is a predicted model, not a curated record.
GUGAAAUUAAAAAAUUAAUAAAAAUACAAAAACAGGGCUAUCUCCGCAGGACUAUCUCCACAGGGCUAUCUCCGCAGGUCUCUCUCCACAGGGCUAACUCCACGGGCCUCUCUCCACAGGGCUAUCUCCACAGGGAUAUCUCCACAGGUUCUGUCGAGUGUGUAAGCGAAGAAGCAACCUCUACAGGAGAGUCUUUGAGAAGUUUGAUAAGGACAGGGAUGGACUGCUUUCUCUCAAGGAAAUGGAAUGUGGCAUAUGUGACCUAUACAUGGCUGAUGUCACUGCUGGGCAGCUCCAGCGGCUGGUGGUAUUGAUUGACGCAGAUGCAAAAUCACACUUUGACUGUGUCAUUCUGCACGACAUGUGCCCGGUCUGAAAGAUUAUUUCACUCCGCGUUAGUGUAAGUCUUGUGAUUGGCACAUGAUAACCAACUGUCAAAUGACAAAAUAAACACACCAGGUGCAUUCAUAUGAAUGACAUGAACUUGUUCACUUUCACAGAGAAUAAAGAAAAAAUCAAGAAAAGACCAGCAAAUAUAAAUCCUUAUAUUCUUGAAAGCUAUCACUAUUAAGUGUUAAAUCAACACUUGAAAUAUCAACACUUAAAAUUAAGUGUUUAAAAUAAAUAUUAACACUGGAAAUACAUCUGUAAUUUUGUUAGGAAAGAAGACAUGGAGGAAAAUGUUGAAAAGGACCGUUUAGAAGAGGCCGACUUCAGCUCACUGAUGGGAAAGCUCUGCUACUACAACAUUUCACCUCCAACGACUAAACUGCUGUUAAUGAUUUCAAGACUUACACGUGUUCAAACAAACCUAGACCAGCGCAUCAAAGGGAAGUACUAGGCCCAGCGGUCUCAUGUACCAGACUUGAUAGGGCUUUCUUUAUAGACACUGUGGCUGUUGAGACUAGGGCCCCUGUAAACUAGUUAGGGUCUUACAGUCACCUGUCAUCUGAGUGUCACGGUGACAAUUCAUAUAAAUAUUUGUAGGAUUAUUUGUCCCUUUUCAUUUCAAUAAACGUGUCAAAGCCAACAUUCUUGUAAUGUAGACCUACAUAUUACCCUGCCAUACAUGCUUAACUGGUAUACAAGUAAAGCGGUUUAUAUGACAAGUGCUAGCAAAUAAAUGCAAUCCAUCAUUACAACUGUUUUAACUUAAUCUUCAACAAAAAGCUCUGAUUAGAACUGUAGUGUAGGGCCAACCAACCAUGAGCUCUGUGGUGGUGUUAGAAAUUCCCUCGGCCAUCUCCAACGUUCCUCCAGCGCUUCUCAAAUGACAGUGACUUAACAUGGCUCACCGAAAAUAAAUGGGCAUACAUCCAAUAGGCAAGUAUCCAUUUCGUGAGUAAUUUCUAACCACGUUUAAACACCCAAAUCCAUGGCUUUACUCCUAUCAUAAACAUUCAGUAAAAGCUAAGUCAAAAUCAAGAAGCAUUAAUUAAUUGUUUGAUGAAAUCAACACCAACAGAAUUUUUGGUAUGUUUAAUUUAGAUUGUUUAAUGUUAAUUCCAUGCUGUGCUUCAGUAAGAACAAUAGGAGACGCUCUGUGGCUCCAGUCAGAUAUCCAGUAGUACAAAUUAGCUUUAAGUUACACAUAAUGAAGCAAAAAAAAAAGGAAAGAAAAACAUUAAGAGCAAUAUAAAGGAGGGGAAAGAGGCAGAAAAAUAACUAUUCAUUAACUCAUGCAGGCUUGAAAUCAUCUCUUUAGAACCCUGUCAUCAAUAGAAGC